AGUCAAGAGUCUUGGCAUCGAAUUUUUCGGUGAGCGAUUUUCUUUUGCCUUGUGAAAGGUGAAAGACAUG
This is a non-coding RNA of Spinacia oleracea (spinach), 70 nucleotides long. The record is from Rfam. Lineage: Eukaryota; Viridiplantae; Streptophyta; Magnoliopsida; Caryophyllales; Amaranthaceae.